GAACCUACCUUGUACAGGGGAAUAGCCCAGGGAAACUUGGAUUAAUGCCCCGUAGUACCGUGACCCGGCAUCGGGAUACSGUUAAAGCCUUCGGGCGGUAUAAGAUGGCCAUGCGUCCCAUUAGCUAGUUGGUAAGGUAACSGCUUACCAAGGCUACGAUGGGUAGGGGCCCUGAGAGGGGGAUCCCCCACACUGGUACUGAGACACGGACCAGACUCCUACGGGAGGCAGCAGUGAGGAAUAUUGGACAAUGGAGGAGACUCUGAUCCAGCCAUGCCGCGUGCAGGAAGAAUGCCCUAUGGGUAGUAAACUGCUUUUAUACGGGAAGAAAAAAGGGUACGUGUACUCUACUGACGGUACCGUAAGAAUAAGGACCGGCUAACUCCGUGCCAGCAGCCGCGGUAAUACGGAGGGUCCGAGCGUUAUCCGGAAUUAUUGGGUUUAAAGGGUCCGUAGGCGGGCCGAUAAGUCAGGGGUGAAAGUUUGCAGCUCAACUGUAAAAUUGCCUUUGAUACUGUUGGUCUUGAGUUAUAGUGAAGUUGCCGGAAUAUGUAGUGUAGCGGUGAAAUGCAUAGAUAUUACAUAGAACACCGAUUGCGAAGGCAGGUGACUAACUAUAUACUGACGCUGAUGGACGAAAGCGUGGGGAGCGAACAGGAUUAGAUACCCUGGUAGUCCACGCCGUAAACGAUGGAUACUAGCUGUCCGAGGCCUUGAGUCUUGGGCGGCC
This 730-nucleotide ribosomal RNA is filed under the name Maribacter sp. SRO_1. RNAcentral's name for it is "bacterial SSU rRNA". It matches the Rfam family "Bacterial small subunit ribosomal RNA", at positions 122 to 848 of the family's 1533-position model. The record is from RNAcentral. Lineage: Bacteria; Pseudomonadati; Bacteroidota; Flavobacteriia; Flavobacteriales; Flavobacteriaceae.